CAUGCUUGAAUAUAACUCUUCAGACAAUUAUGUGAUUCAAGCGUUUCGAAAGUUGCAGCUGCAUCUUCAUAAGUACUCUCCUUCCAUGGAACUUAACGCAAUUGAAAGACAAAUAUUUUUCUUCUCAUAUAUCAAGACGAGGGGGGGGGGGAUAUAGAAUUGUGUAUAGGAAGAUGAUAUGAUGGGUUUAUUUUGUCUAUAUAACGUAAUGACUGACUUAUAGGGAGAUUCUCUUUUUCUUUUUGGGUUGAAUUAAUUAAUUUAUCUUUGGGUUAAUAACUUUGUCUUUUAUUGGUAUCCGUCGUCGUUUUACCGGAUUACGUGGACCCCAUAUUGAGCAUUAUCAUAGCUAGUGGGAACAACAAAAUGGGAAAAGGACCAAACAAAAGGCUUCACUCGGUCUCGCUUUUUUAAAAUUAUACUGUAAUUUUCACGUGGUAGUUUUACGCAUGUAACGGUACAAUGCCGUCACGCAGUUGGACGAAACUUCUUUAUAGAUAAAUUAAAUGUAAAACAUGUACUAGUUAAACUAAUUUUAACCCCUAAGACCAACUCCAUCAAUGGGUUCCUAUAGGGUUCUAAACCCAAAAGGUGAAAAAAAAAAAAUAAAAAAGACCCAAAAUUAAGAGAACCGGUGCCAUAUUCAGGCUUUUUAGAACUGGUAAGAGGCGCCUACGUGUCACUCCCUCGUUGCACCGCUUCUGUUUUGUCCCUCUCUCUCCUUUGGUCGGGGUUUCGAUGAAACCAAAGACAAUCUAGUCUCUUGGAGUCUCCGUCUCGUUCUGAGCGAUCUUCUCUCCGACCGAUCCGUUUCGCAAACUCCGGCGACUCCGUCGGCCCAUCUUCUCCGUCGUCUCCAUGGGUCUGUCCUUUCUCUCGGUCCUAGUCGUCUGUGUCACCGCGUCCUCUCUCUCAGUCCUAGUCGUCUGUCUCACCGCGUCCUCUCUCUCACUGCUGAUGGACGCGCUUUUGAGAAAUAAUUUGUGAUACUCUGUUUUGGGAUUUGAUUCGAGUGAGGAAUGUGGAGUUAUGAUCGCUAAUCGUCUUUGGCUUCAUCCUUGCUUUGGCUUCUUACUUUAUAUGGUUAAGGGUCUCCCAGAAGAGAAAGAAUUCACUCACGUUAAUAUUACACACGACCAGUCAAGUGGUGGUGGGUGCGAUCGUGGGUUCUGUUUAUUCCACCUUAUUGUACAUAACGUGGAACUCACUUGUUCUCGAAGCUUUUGCCUCAUCAUUCUCAGUACAGGUAGCUGUCUUUACGGCUGCUGCUGCAUCUGCUCUAGGUUUUGCAGUUUAUGUGCUACUUAACUGGUUCAAAGAUGACGACAGAUGACAAAGAAAAUAUAAUAAUUCCAGGGUUAUAAAACUAUUCAUUUGUUUCCCAUUUCACUCAUACUGUUUGAGCUGUCUAGCAAUCAACAUUACCACUUGUGUUCUUCUUGUAAAGGAGCUUCUUGAAAUCAGUUUCAUUCAAGUUCUUUGUGUUUUCUGCUG
RNA transcript from Brassica rapa (field mustard), 1494 nucleotides. RefSeq lists it as uncharacterized. NCBI's taxonomy places the organism in Eukaryota, Viridiplantae, Streptophyta, Magnoliopsida, Brassicales, Brassicaceae. The record is from RefSeq and is a predicted model, not a curated record.